CAGCUCUGCGGCGCAGAAACCGGAAGGCGGAGCAGAGACUCUCCCUCUUGUCUCGGAUGUGAUCGUGGUGAGCAGACGUGUUCCCCACCGCUUCCUAACUUUGACUUCUUCGCGAUUUGCUGCGUAGCAGUGGUGAUGAAGAUGUCCAAGUCACACUAUGGCUGGUACACCUGACAAGAUGCUAUGGCACCACUGCAAACUGCAGAUGACCAAAUGUCUUCAUUGUGUGGGCCUUCAAGCUGCUUGAAGUUGUAGUGACGAGAGCCACCGGAUAUGUAAACCUUUGUCUGCUACCAAGAUGAGAUAGGCCGCCGUAGUAGCAGCCACAGAGUUACAUCAAUGCUGACUUCAUCUCUUCCCCAAUUAUGAAGCCAGUUGAAUGAUCCAGCGGUACAGAGGAAACCUGUUUUGUAAAAGGUGCGUAGGUGUAGAUGAAGCGUAAGAUAUUCUGGUGGAGCUCGUCCAGGGUAGCGUCUCUCCUGUGCAAACUGUCCACAUCCCCCAGGUCACAAGGAAACACUGCAUCGGGUGGAAGAAUGAGAGCAGAGGCCCCUGCAGGAAAAGACCAGCAUCCCAUGAAGACCACACUCUUGAACCUGUUGGCCUACGUAAUGUUCAUUAAGAACAACUACCCUGGAACAAGAUAAAAAUGUACAACAAAAAAUUGUAAAGCUAUAUGUUUUGCAGUAUUAGACUCCAUACCUAUUGAUACACAUAAGGAAAAUCAUGUAAGAAUAGCUUAUAAUAAAUACAUAAUACUACAUGUAAGUAAAUAAUAUUCUUUGGUACCAGGUAUGUACUUAUAGGUGUCAUGUAAAGGUGUCCUGAUUUUUAAAAAAUACCAUGUUUGAGAGUGACUGAGUUCUCACAAAGGAGUACAGCAAUCACAGCGUCCUCUUCCAGUACGCAAGUUCUGAGACAUAACUUGCAGUGAGCCUCAGCCAAGGAGAUCCUGGGACAAAAUGCCAUAAAGAAUGUCCAGUGUGAAUGCCUGCAUGUGUGCUUAGGGUUUUCUUUUAUUUAUGGCUGUACAAGAAGUAAUUUGUAGAAGUGUACAAUUCAGUAUGUAAAUGGAUAAAUCAAAACGAACACAGGCUGAGUAAAUGUUUCUAGAUUUAGAGCUUAA
Molecule: long non-coding RNA, 1126 nt
Organism: Amphiprion ocellaris (clown anemonefish)
Lineage: Eukaryota; Metazoa; Chordata; Actinopteri; Pomacentridae
Exons: 7
Source: RefSeq, a predicted model, not a curated record